GGGUCAGUAGGUUGGUGGUGCCACCGGUACGUACUGGUCUCACUGAUUCCUCCUUCCUGAAGAACCGUAAUGCCACUAAUUUGGUGUUGCGGGGAAACAGGACUGUUACUUUGAAAAGAUUAGAGUGUUUAAAGCAAGCUAACGCUUGAAUACAUUAGCAUGGAAUAAUGAAAUAGGACGAUCGAUCCUAUUUUGUUGGUUUCUAGGAUUGACGUA
Molecule: ribosomal RNA, 216 nt
Filed under: Glomeromycotina sp.
Lineage: Eukaryota; Fungi; Glomeromycota
Description: partial small subunit ribosomal RNA
Rfam family: Eukaryotic small subunit ribosomal RNA (bases 87-216)
Source: RNAcentral